GAGUAAGUAAAAAAGAGUAUAUGGUGAAUGCCUUGGCACAAAAAGUCGACGAAGGACGUAACAGACUGCGAUAAGCCUCGGAUAGCUGUCAAUAAGCGCUUUAAUCCGGGGAUUUCCGAAUGGGGAAACCCAACUCUGGUCAUGCAGAGUUACUUUGUGAUGAAUACAUAGUCACGAAGAUGAUAAGCCAGCGAAGUGAAACAUCUCAGUAGCUGGAAGAAAAGAUACAAAUAUUAGUAUUCCCUAAGUAGUGGCGAGCGAAAGGGGAAGAGCCCAAACCUUGCAGGUAGGAGAAGUUAGUGGAUGGUACUUGUACCGGAAGCUUUCAUCUCACCGUUGUAGCGGUGGUUGCAGCAAGGUGUUGUAGGGUAUUACAUGAGCGUACUACAAUGCGCACAAAUGAGUUACAAAUGUAAAAUCUAGCAGAAUACAGCUGGAAAGCUUAACCGCAGAGGGUAAUAGUCCCGUAAGCGAAAGGUUUUACA
Molecule: ribosomal RNA, 485 nt
Filed under: Candidatus Dojkabacteria bacterium
Lineage: Bacteria
Description: partial 23S ribosomal RNA
Rfam family: Bacterial large subunit ribosomal RNA
Source: RNAcentral